RNAcentral lists this ribosomal RNA (253 nucleotides) under uncultured bacterium. RNAcentral's name for it is "partial 16S ribosomal RNA". It matches the Rfam family "Bacterial small subunit ribosomal RNA", at positions 524 to 776 of the family's 1533-position model. The record is from RNAcentral.
GACAGAGGGGGCAAGCGUUGCUCGGAAUCACUGGGCGUAAAGGGCGCGUAGGCGGGUCCGCAAGUCGAUCGUGAAAUCCUUCGGCUCAACCAAGGAAGUGCAUCCGAAACUGCUGAGCUUGAGUACGAAAGAGGAUCGCGGAAUUCCCGGUGUAGAGGUGAAAUUCGUAGAUAUCGGGAGGAACACCAGUGGCGAAGGCGGCGAUCUGGGUCGAUACUGACGCUGAGGUGCGAAAGCGUGGGGAGCAAACAGG